This 267-nucleotide ribosomal RNA is filed under the name uncultured bacterium. RNAcentral describes it as "partial 16S ribosomal RNA". It matches the Rfam family "Bacterial small subunit ribosomal RNA", at positions 91 to 353 of the family's 1533-position model. The record is from RNAcentral.
CUUAGUGGCGAACGGGUGAGUAACGCGUGAGUAACCUGCCCUGGAGUGGGGGACGAACAGUUGGAAACGACUGCUAAUACCGCAUAAGCCCACGAUCCGGCAUCGGAUUGAGGGAAAAGGAUUUAUUCGCUUCAGGAUGGACCCGCGUCCAAUUAGCUAGUUGGUGAGGUAACGGCCCACCAAGGCGACGAUCGGUAGCCGGACUGAGAGGUUGAACGGCCACAUUGGGACUGAGACACGGCCCAGACUCCUACGGGAGGCAGCAUG